UAAGCCUUUUAUUUUUGAGGAAUCUUGGGA
RNAcentral lists this non-coding RNA (30 nucleotides) under Rattus norvegicus (Norway rat). The record is from RNAcentral. Lineage: Eukaryota; Metazoa; Chordata; Mammalia; Rodentia; Muridae.